Long non-coding RNA from Cucumis melo (muskmelon), 314 nucleotides. RefSeq lists it as uncharacterized. The transcript is spliced from 3 exons. The record is from RefSeq and is a predicted model, not a curated record. NCBI's taxonomy places the organism in Eukaryota, Viridiplantae, Streptophyta, Magnoliopsida, Cucurbitales, Cucurbitaceae.
GCCCUGGACCAAGUAACUGCUGCAGCGGGGGAUUUCUUCGGUAGGGGCUUGAGCACUGCAACCUCUCUCUAGGUUAGGACCUCGUCGCUUGGAAAGCAUACUGCCUUGCGGUUAGGACUCGUCAAGUAAAUCUCCAGGUAGAGGACGAGGCAAGGGCAAGGGCAAGCUGGCGAGCGACCCGAAGUGACCGUGGAGGGCCAUAGGGGCUACUGCUUCCGCUUAUCCUUAUUUUAGACUUUCGUAUUUGAGUUUGAGUAUUUUUCAUUACUUAUCAUCUUUUUAUGUAGAUAGGGCCCGAGUAGGACUUUAGAACG